This 366-nucleotide ribosomal RNA is filed under the name uncultured organism. Its description in RNAcentral is "partial 16S ribosomal RNA". It matches the Rfam family "Bacterial small subunit ribosomal RNA", at positions 527 to 896 of the family's 1533-position model. The record is from RNAcentral.
GGAGGGUGCGAGCGUUAAUCGGAAUUACUGGGCGUAAAGAGCACGUAGGCGGCUUGGUCAGUCGGAUGUGAAAGCCCCGGGCUUAACCUGGGAAUUGCACUCGAUACUGCCAGGCUAGAGUUUAAUAGAGGAAUGCGGAAUUCCGGGUGUAGCGGUGAAAUGCGUAGAUAUCCGGAGGAACAUCAGUGGCGAAGGCGGCAUUCUGGGUUAAAACUGACGCUGAGGUGCGAAAGCGUGGGGAGCAAACAGGGAUUAGAUACCCUGGUAGUCCACGCCGUAAACGAUGUCAACUAGCCGUUGGGAUUUUUCUUAGUGGCGCAGCUAACGCGAUAAGUUGACCGCCUGGGGAGUACGCCGGCAACGGUA